Molecule: long non-coding RNA, 196 nt
Organism: Dendronephthya gigantea
Lineage: Eukaryota; Metazoa; Cnidaria; Anthozoa; Malacalcyonacea; Nephtheidae
Exons: 3
Source: RefSeq, a predicted model, not a curated record
UACCGGAACAAUCUUCAAUCUCGUUCUACUGCAGUUUCCGAUAGCACAAAUGAAAGAUGUGAUUUACUACAAUAUUGAAAAUAGCUUGAUUGACGAAGGUGGACUUGGUGGAGUUGUUGAGGAUUAUGCCAUUGCAAUGGCGACAUAAUUGAUGAAAUCAAUGGCGAAAAGAAUUCUUUAGUCAACUAGAGUCGUG